UGCCCUGCAACUCCUAUCCCUACCUCCACGCGGUACCGGCCGGAAACUAUGAGCAACCUUAGGGAAGA
Molecule: non-coding RNA, 68 nt
Organism: Aedes albopictus (Asian tiger mosquito)
Lineage: Eukaryota; Metazoa; Arthropoda; Insecta; Diptera; Culicidae
Source: Rfam